Molecule: ribosomal RNA, 497 nt
Filed under: uncultured bacterium
Lineage: Bacteria
Description: partial 16S ribosomal RNA
Rfam family: Bacterial small subunit ribosomal RNA
Source: RNAcentral
GACGAACGCUGGCGGCGUGCCUAAUACAUGCAAGUUGAGCGCUGAAGGUUGGUACUUGUACCAACUGGAUGAGCAGCGAACGGGUGAGUAACGCGUGGGGAAUCUGCCUUUGAGCGGGGGACAACAUUUGGAAACGAAUGCUAAUACCGCAUAAAAACUUUAAACACAAGUUUUAAGUUUGAAAGAUGCAAUUGCAUCACUCAAAGAUGAUCCCGCGUUGUAUUAGCUAGUUGGUGAGGUAAAGGCUCACCAAGGCGAUGAUACAUAGCCGACCUGAGAGGGGGAUCGGCCAAAUUGGGACUGAGACACGGCCCAAACCUCUACGGGAGGCAACAGGAGGGAAUCUUCGGCAAAGGACGAAAGUCUGAACGGGCAACGCCGCGGGAGUGAAGAAGGGUUUCGGAUCGUAAAACUCUGUUGGUAGAGAAGAACGUUGGUGAGAGUGGAAAGCUCAUCAAGUGACGGUAACUAACCAGAAAGGGACGGCUAACUACGUG